This 253-nucleotide ribosomal RNA is filed under the name uncultured bacterium. RNAcentral describes it as "partial 16S ribosomal RNA". It matches the Rfam family "Bacterial small subunit ribosomal RNA", at positions 524 to 776 of the family's 1533-position model. The record is from RNAcentral.
UCCGGAGGAUGCAAGCGUUAUCCGGAUUUAUUGGGCGUAAAGGGUCCGCAGGUGGUUGUUCAAGUCUGCUGUCAAAGCGCGGAGCUUAACUCCGUAUCGGCGGUGGAAACUGAGGAACUAGAGUCUGGUAGGGGUUGCGGGAAUUCCCAGUGUAGCGGUGAAAUGCGUAGAUAUUGGGAAGAACACCGGCGGCGAAAGCGCGCAACUGGACCAGAACUGACACUGAGGGACGAAAGCUAGGGGAGAGAAAGGG